CAAGACAAUGGGUUCAGUGCUCAGCAGAACUUGAGCCAACAGAGCACCUGGUCCCGACACUGGGCAAGCAGACCGUCCCUUCCCUCAGCAGCACCCGGCCCUGCCUUGCCAGUCUCCCGCUGGCAGCUAACAGUUUUUCGUUUUUUUGUUUGUUUUUCAAGACAGGGUUUCUCUGUGUAGCCCUGGCUGUUACAGCACUUGCUUUGUAGACCAGGCUGACCUUGAACUCACUGAGAUCUGCCUGACUAGCUGAGGAUGUCUUGCAGAGCCCCGACCUGUCUUUCCUCCUGCAUUAGCUCCUCCUGGCCCUGCACAGGGUCAGUCCCUUCUGUGCAAUGGCUUCCCCAGGCUUCGGAGAACCAGGCGUGUGCCUCAGGGGCCACCCAUUUCCUACUCUUUCAUCACCUACACCCAGCACUUGUGUUCCAAUUCUAACGUCUGCCUGCCUUAGUGAAACAGUGUUCACAGCUACUUCCUCUUCCCAGGACGUCUCCAGGCCUCAAGACCGGCUCUAAGAUGGACCCAGCUCUGCCCCAGAGGGCUCCGUGCAUGCUUCUGCAAGGCCUAAGACUCAGCCUCCUAACUGCCCAUGGGAACUGCAUGGUCUCCUCAGUGCUGACAUGCACUGCCACGCCCGGCACAACUCCACAAUCUCUUUCCUCUGUACCUGGGAAACCAGGUGUCUCAGUAGCCCCUAACAUCAAAGCCUAGCAGGAUUUCCCCUCAAAUCUACGGCCUCCUACACGCUAGGCAAAUAUUCUACCUCAAGUCUGCUACCCAGGCUGCUCUGAGCUUGAUGAGGCAGGUCUUGGACUUGCAACCCUCUGGCAUCGGCCUCCCGGCAGCUAGGUGAGAAGCUACGCCACCAGGCUCCACAGGAGUGUUUCAUGCGUCACCACCUCCCCCGGCCCAGAGUAGCCAGUAGUAAACUCAACUGUUUCCUGAUGAAAGACUUCACGUCCCAGCCUCCUUUGAGGACUAUGGACAUCAUUUCUGCCCCUCUAAGAUAUGGGGCCACAUCCCAUCUACCUCUGCUGGCAUUCUGGCCAUCUGCACACACGGGUGACAAAGCCCUCUGUGAGUAAACACAAUCCUGCCUAAA
Molecule: long non-coding RNA, 1102 nt
Organism: Psammomys obesus (fat sand rat)
Lineage: Eukaryota; Metazoa; Chordata; Mammalia; Rodentia; Muridae
Exons: 3
Source: RefSeq, a predicted model, not a curated record